CCUACGGGGGGCAGCAGUCGAGAAUCAUUCACAAUGGGGGAAACCCUGAUGGUGCGACGCCGCGUGGGGGAAUGAAGGUCUUCGGAUUGUAAACCCCUGUCAUGUGGGAGCAAAUUAAAAAGAUCGUACCACAAGAGGAAGAGACGGCUAACUCUGUGCCAGCAGCCGCGGUAAUACAGAGGUCUCAAGCGUUGUUCGGAAUCACUGGGCGUAAAGCGUGCGUAGGCUGUUUCGUAAGUCGGGUGUGAAAGGCGCGGGCUCAACCCGCGGACGGCACAUGAUACUGCGAGACUAGAGUAAGGGAGGGGGAACCGGAAUUCUCGGUGUAGCAGUGAAAUGCGUAGAUAUCGAGAGGAACACUCGUGGCGAAGGCGGGUUCCUGGACAUUAACUGACGCUGAGGCACGAAGGCCAGGGGGGCGAAAGGGAUUAGAUACCCGGGUAGUC
This 446-nucleotide ribosomal RNA is filed under the name uncultured bacterium. RNAcentral describes it as "partial 16S ribosomal RNA". It matches the Rfam family "Bacterial small subunit ribosomal RNA", at positions 338 to 795 of the family's 1533-position model. The record is from RNAcentral.